This 273-nucleotide ribosomal RNA is filed under the name uncultured bacterium. RNAcentral's name for it is "partial 16S ribosomal RNA". It matches the Rfam family "Bacterial small subunit ribosomal RNA", at positions 524 to 796 of the family's 1533-position model. The record is from RNAcentral.
UACGGAGGGUGCAAGCGUUAAUCGGAAUUACUGGGCGUAAAGCGCGCGUAGGUGGUUUGAUAAGCGAGAUGUGAAAGCCCCGGGCUUAACCUGGGAACGGCAUUUCGAACUGUCAGGCUAGAGUAUGGUAGAGGAGUGUGGAAUUUCCUGUGUAGCGGUGAAAUGCGUAGAUAUAGGAAGGAAUACCGAUGGCGAAGGCAGCCAGCUGGACCAAUACUGACGCUGAGGUGCGAAAGCGUGGGGAGCAAACAGGAUUAGAUACCCGUGUAGUCC